ACUUGGAUAUGGAUUCUUCACGGUAACGUAACUGAAUGUGAAGACGUCGGUAUAAGCCCUGGGAGGAGUUAUCUUUUCUUCUUAACAGCUUAACACCCUGGAAUUGGUUUAUCCGGAGAUAGGGUNUUAUGGCUNGAAGAGCGCAAUACCNNNGUUGCGUCCGGUGCGCUUAUNACGGCCNNUGAAAAUUCANAGGAAGGAAUAGUUUUCAUGCCAAGUNGUACU
Molecule: ribosomal RNA, 225 nt
Filed under: Saccharomycopsis malanga
Lineage: Eukaryota; Fungi; Ascomycota; Saccharomycetes; Ascoideales; Saccharomycopsidaceae
Description: partial 26S ribosomal RNA
Rfam family: Eukaryotic large subunit ribosomal RNA
Source: RNAcentral